This 119-nucleotide ribosomal RNA is filed under the name Musa acuminata subsp. malaccensis (wild Malaysian banana). The record is from RNAcentral. Lineage: Eukaryota; Viridiplantae; Streptophyta; Magnoliopsida; Zingiberales; Musaceae.
GAGUGCGAUCAUACCAGCACUAAAGCAUCGGAUCCCAUCAGAACUCCGAAGUUAAGCGUGCUUGGGCGAGAGUAGUACUAGGAUGGGUGACCCCCUGGGAAGUCCUCGUGUUGCACUCC